Molecule: long non-coding RNA, 679 nt
Organism: Boleophthalmus pectinirostris (great blue-spotted mudskipper)
Lineage: Eukaryota; Metazoa; Chordata; Actinopteri; Gobiiformes; Gobiidae
Exons: 4
Source: RefSeq, a predicted model, not a curated record
UUUUCCCUCUCUCCCUCUCACUUUGGAAACUCGGUCGGUUGAGAAAUAGUAACGGCGUCGCUCGGAUGUGUCCAAAGCGCUCAGAAAAGUCGAGUGAUAAGACGACACUCUGCCCGUUCAAUCUGUCAUGUGUGUGCGACAUGGCCGACUGUGAUCGUUUCCCUUUCACAAGAAGACGAGAGCACAGAAGAGACAACACAAAGUUAAUUCCAGAUCAAGAGUUACACCCAGCCGCCUGUAAGUGACACUGAGGACACGAUUAAAGUCACGUCCCCCAUGGAAAGCUUUGGCAGGUCAUGAAGACGCUGCUGCUGAAUCCACGGUUUGAUCACGUGUUUCCAAGCGUCUUCGGAGAGAAGAGAAGGGAAGAGGAGCAGCCUGUCCCUCUGUUUAAUUGACCCACACUGACCUCCACAAUAAAGAUACGAGCACCAAACCCCCACACGCUCCCGUCCGGAGGCUGCUGAUUGGUGAUGAAAUUCGGUUAUUUUUUUGGUUGGAAAUUUAAGUUAAUAUGUGGAGAAGAGUGAGAAUAAUAAAUGUGAGGUAGAGUUUGGAUUUGGUCAUCCAAUAAAGACGCAUUUAAUCUGAGGUGAAUUUAUUGCCCAAAAUUGUUUAAUAGUCCUUGUUUAGUUUUGGUUUUGUCCUGGUCUAGUCUCUGUUUAGUCCUGGUUUAGUU